GUUAGUUGAAACUCAUGGUUCUCUAUUUUUAUUAUAAAAAAAAGUUGGCAGUUAAGUGAUAUUUAAAUAAUAGCUUGCACAUAUGACAUAUCUCGACUUCUUUCAAUCUCGGUCAACAAUAUCCUGAUUAUAAAAAAAAAAUCAUCUAAAGGUACUAUCGCACCUGAAUUAGCAUCAAAAGUUUCAAAGUUUUAUUGCUGAAUGCACAUUAUUUAUUGUUAACAACAAGAAGGAGCAUGAAAUUAUUCAUGAUCCCAAAGUUAGAAUUGGAGCAUCCCAAUUCCCAAUUCUUGAUGAUCAAUCAAUAUUCAAUGGUGCUUCGGAUCUGGGCCCGAAGGACUAAGACGAUUGGUCUUAUAUUUGACAAUCUCCUUUCCUUUGAGUUUGAGUCCUGAAACAACUAUGGCAAUUCCGUCAGCACUCAAUGUAAAAUCUGAUUUGGUGGUGCUUCUUUCAAAGGAUGAAGGGAGAGAACGUUGUUCAGAGAUUACAAUAAUUGACAACAAGACCAAGAUUGUGCACAACCAGAACUUUGACAUUGCCAUUGAGGAGCUUUUGGAGUUGCAAAAUAUAUAGUAACUUUGGAUCUUGGUGCAGGGCUCCGAGGCAAAACUAUGCAUAUUUAUAGGCCAAAAUUGUAAUCACAAUGACAAUAU
Molecule: long non-coding RNA, 656 nt
Filed under: Glycine max (soybean)
Lineage: Eukaryota; Viridiplantae; Streptophyta; Magnoliopsida; Fabales; Fabaceae
Description: long non-coding RNA (GMAX_LNC002935)
Source: RNAcentral